RNAcentral lists this ribosomal RNA (507 nucleotides) under Acinetobacter baumannii. RNAcentral describes it as "partial 23S ribosomal RNA". It matches the Rfam family "Bacterial large subunit ribosomal RNA", at positions 2424 to 2925 of the family's 2925-position model. Lineage: Bacteria; Pseudomonadati; Pseudomonadota; Gammaproteobacteria; Moraxellales; Moraxellaceae. The record is from RNAcentral.
UGGUUCUGUAUGGAAGGGCCAUCGCUCAACGGAUAAAAGGUACUCUGGGGAUAACAGGCUGAUACCGCCCAAGAGUUCAUAUCGACGGCGGUGUUUGGCACCUCGAUGUCGGCUCAUCUCAUCCUGGGGCUGAAGCAGGUCCCAAGGGUAUGGCUGUUCGCCAUUUAAAGAGGUACGCGAGCUGGGUUUAGAACGUCGUGAGACAGUUCGGUCCCUAUCUACCGUGGGCGCUGGAAAUUUGAGAGGAUCUGCUCCUAGUACGAGAGGACCAGAGUGGACGAACCUCUGGUGUACCGGUUGUGACGCCAGUCGCAUCGCCGGGUAGCUAUGUUCGGAAGGGAUAACCGCUGAAAGCAUCUAAGCGGGAAGCCUACCUCAAGAUAAGAUUUCCCUAGGACUUUAUGUCCUCUAAAGAGCCGUUCGAGACUAGGACGUUGAUAGGUUGGAUGUGGAAGCAUAGUGAUAUGUGAAGCUGACCAAUACUAAUUGCUCGUGAGGCUUGACUAU